This 285-nucleotide ribosomal RNA is filed under the name uncultured bacterium. RNAcentral describes it as "partial 16S ribosomal RNA". It matches the Rfam family "Bacterial small subunit ribosomal RNA", at positions 335 to 635 of the family's 1533-position model. The record is from RNAcentral.
GCCCUACGGGACGCAGCAGUGGGGAAUAUUGGGCAAUGGGCGCAAGCCUGACCCAGCAACGCCGCGUGAAGGAAGAAGGCUUUCGGGUUGUAAACUUCUUUUGUCAGGGACGAGGCAAGUGACGGUACCUGACGAAUAAGCCACGGCUAACUACGUGCCAGCAGCCGCGGUAAUACGUAGGUGGCGAGCGUUAUCCGGAUUUAUUGGGUGUAAAGGGCGUGUAGGCGGGAAUGCAAGUCAGAUGUGAAAACUAUGGGCUCAACCCAUAGCCUGCAUUUGAAACUG